Microtus oregoni (creeping vole) is the source of this 3819-nucleotide long non-coding RNA. RefSeq lists it as uncharacterized. The transcript has 3 exons. NCBI's taxonomy places the organism in Eukaryota, Metazoa, Chordata, Mammalia, Rodentia, Cricetidae. The record is from RefSeq and is a predicted model, not a curated record.
CUGAAAAGCUAGUUGUUAGCAACUGAAGAGGGGAAACUGAGGCAUGGGAAAGGAAAGACCGGGCUGCGGGCUGCGUGUAAAUCCAUGCUCUAAAUGCUGACCUGGAGCAGGGUCGCGUUUUUUCCUAGGGGCGUGGGGCUGGAUCUUCUCAGACUGCAGGCCAGCUGGGGCGAGGUUGACGGAAGACUUUGAAUUGGUGAGAGAAGCAGACCCAGCCUGCAAGGCUCUUUAUCCCUGGGCCUCAGGGCCAGUUCCCUUCCUGACCCUGAAGAUCCAGUGGGAGGGGGGUUCCAGUCUGGCCCCAGUUCCAGUCUGCACAAUGGCUCCUCUGUACUCCCAGCUGCCUCAUCCCCUGGCCUCCUCACCUCUUUGGCCUUUGUCUCUCUUAUCCUCCUUACCCUCCCCCAUCCUGGGCAGCCUUUCUAGACACCAUCCCUUUCUAAAGAACUUUAUCCUAACUCCAGAAACCUCUGGCCCCGGAUCCAGGACUAGACAUGAACAAGAUGUUGGUUUGUGAGCCGGGCGGUGGUGGUGCACACCUUUAAUCCCAGCACUCGGGAGGCAGAGGCAGGCGGAUCUCUGUGAGUUCCAGGACAGGCUCCAAAGCUACAGAGAAACUCAUCUCAAAAAGCAAAACAACAACAAUAAAAAGAUGUUGGUUUGUGUUUGUGAAACUUGAAGGAACUGAAACCCUGAGAGGUUAAGGAUCUCAGUGGAGCUGUCAAACCAUUUCCCAACACAGCUGAGAAGAAAGAAAGGAAAUAUCUCCCUACCUCAGGCCAGACAAGAGACAAGCAAGCAGUCACGAGACCUGGCCUCUGCACCCCAGGAACUCAAGGCUACCAGGUCUUGCUAUGUAGAUCUUGGGAAGAGUCCCAAGUGCUGGGAUUAAAGGUGUGUGCCGCUACUCCCAGGCCACCUCCAGACUCCUAGUCACAUCUGUAAAGUCUCUUCUGCAUGGAACGUAUCAUGUUCAACCACGGGCUCCUGGGACUGUGAUGGAGACAUUUUUAGGGGCCAGGGUUUUGCUAACCACAGCUAGAAAUGAAAAUAAUGUAGUAACCCUCUCCUGACUUGGCUCCAGAACCUUCUUUCCCAACUUCUCCCUCCUCUGGUUUUACCCAAACAAACACAAACCAAGGUCUUGCUUUUCCCCCAAAAUAAGAAUUUAUGUUGAGUAGGACUAGAACCAGUCUUGCUGGGACUGAGAUCCAGUGCAGAGAAAAAUUGGUUUCUAUUUCUGAAAAUUACCCAAGAGGGAGGAGCUGGCGUCUUUGCUAAACAUAGUACUGACAGGCUCGCAGAACCCCAACUUUUCACCUGAGGAAGGGGCUGGAAACAGCCCAGCCAUUCCAUUCUCAGCCUGGCACAAUUCCCCACUCUGCUUUGCAGGCUUACCCAUGAGCACUGCCUGCAUCUCCCUCCCAUCCCGCCCCUAGGCACCAAUGGAACUCCGCGGCUUUGCUGUCACCUCUCCUGUGACUUGGAAGCCCAGCUGCUCUGUUCUUCUGUGACAAAAGUGGACCAGGCUGACCAGACUGCCAGCCACAGACUCUGAGAAGAGUCCCUCAGUGGCAGCCUUCCUUGGACUCCCUCUGACAUUACCUUCCAUUGGGGCUCGAAGUGGGCUGCCACCUGGCCUUUGCCCAACCCCACAUCCUGGAUACAAGCAGGAUGGAUGUUUCCUGGAUGUUGGCACAGGAAUCCUAGUCUGCCGACCUUACCUCCUGAGGAAAGAGAAGCUAUGGCAUGGCAGGCCACCCGACUCAGGCAGAUCCUAGAAGUGGGAGGCUGGAAGCAGAACCGGCUCCCCUGUAGUCAGGGUAGGAAAGCAGGGCUGCUCCCACAACCCCACAACCCAUAGAUAGAGCUCAGAGGCUGGGGGACGGGUUGUGCACCCAUAGAUAGAGCUCAGAGGCUGGGGGGAUGGGUGUGUGCACCCAUAGAUAGAGCUCAGAGGCUGGGGGAUGGGUGUGUGCACCCAUAGAUAGAGCUCAGAGGCUGGGGGAUGGGUGUGUGCACCCAUAGAUAGAGCUCAGAGGCUGGGGGAUGGGUGUGUGUACGGUUUUCCCCGCAACCCAUAGAUAGAGCUCAGAGGCUGGGGGAUGGGUGUGUGCACCCAUAGAUAGAGCUCAGAGGCUGGGGGAUGGGUGUGUACACCCAUAGAUAGAGCUCAGAGGCUGAGGGAUGGGUGUGUGCAUCCAUAGAUAGAGCUCAGAGGCUGGGGGAUGGGGUGUGCACGGUUUUCCCCGUACUUUUUGUUUUGAAAUGUUUUCUACUUCCACAUCUCUCAAAAUGUGUCCUUGGAUGUUUCCCAAAGCAAACAGACAGACAGGGGGUUGGCCCUGAUCCCCGGGAGACAGUGACUUUAUACUAAUUGUCUGGGGUUGCGUCCACCUACCUGAAGGUGGACAGACACACACAGGAUACUCUGGGGUGCUGCCCUAGGGGUGUGCCCCUCAUGGCUUCCCCUGGGAAGCCAAAUCAUUGAGGACUAGGGCCAAAAGAGGGGGAGGGAGGCAGAUCCCCUGAUUUGCCAAGCUGGAGAAGACACGAAGCCCAGGAGCGAGGCUUGCCUACUCUUCACGCUCGUUAUCCACGUCCCGAAAAUAGAACAGCCCUUCCCUGGAGGCUCAGUUCCUGAAGGUCAAAGCCUCAAAUUCUUUGCAGACGCAAGCCUAGUAAUUUAGGUAAAGACUGUGCAGGGUGAGCCAGACAACAGGGCACUGGACAAGGGAACGGACGCCUUCGGCGCACCCCACGCAGGCUGGCGGAGGCAGCUUCAUGCACGGGAGCACAGCAUGACCCUGCACGGCUGCAAGCGACAGGAGGGCCAGUCUCCAAAGAUGCAGUUCCUUGUUCCCUGAAGUCCUGGCCGCAGGGACGUGACUGGCAUCUGAGCAUGAGUUGAGAUGUCACUGCUCCUUCACGGCACUGUCUGUCAGAUGAUCCCAGCGGCUUCCUCUGGCCCGGUUUCAGAGCUGAGUGUGGUCAGCAAGAGAUCACCCGCCUAGGUGCUGAGUUCAGCGCUCUCUUCCUGCUUUUUUCUUCUUCCUUCCUCCUUCUUUUCUCUUUCCUUUGUUUCUCUCCCUAUAAAAACUUUAUUACUUUUUACUUUAAUUUUUUUUUUUUAGAUAAGGUCCUAUGUAGUCCAGGGUGACCUUGAAUUCCUGAACCUUCUUUCUUUAGCUCCUUUACUAGGCUCACAAGCAGCUCCCCCACCGUGGCUGGUCCUUGUUUUACUGCGUCUGUGGUAGGCAUGGCUUGUGGACAGGUAGAUAUGCUCAGAGAGGCAAUGUGUGUGGAGGUCAGGGGUUAACACUUUGUUUUUUGAGACAGGGUUCCCCACUGAACCUCGAGUUCACUGUUUUGGCUAGACAGGUGGGACAGUGAGCCCUCGGAAUUGGCCUGCCUCCAUCCUCCCAGCACUGGGGUCACAGGCCACCGCACCCCAGCUUUUUUUAUGGAAUAUAAACUCAGAUGCUCGUGUGUGCAAAUCACUUUAUCCCCUGAAUCAUCUCUGUAACCCCUUUGUUUUGAGGCUGGGUAUAAUGUAGCCCAGGCUGGUCUCAGACUCACUGUGGCCAAGGAUAGCUUAGAAUCUCUUACCUUCCUACUGUCACCUCCCAGAUGCUAGGGUCAGGCAUGCACCACCACAACCAACUGGAAUUUUUAUUUUUAUUUUAUUUUAUUUUGCAUUGAGAAAGGGUCCCACUAAGUAGCCUUGUCUGGCCUGUAACUCACUAUGUAGACCACACUGGCUCCAAACUCUUUAAAAGUCUGCCUGCCUCUGUCUCCAGAGUGUUGAGAUUAAAAACA